GACGAACGCUGGCGGCGUGCCUAAUACAUGCAAGUCGAACGCACUGACGUCGACCGAAGCUGCUUGCAGUGGACGUUGAUUGACGUGAGUGGCGGACGGGUGAGUAACACGUGGGUAACCUACCCUUAAGUGGGGGAUAACACUUGGAAACAGGUGCUAAUACCGUAUAACAACAGAAACCGCAUGGUUUCUGUUUGAAAGAUGGUUUCGGCUAUCACUUCUGGAUGGACCCGCGGCGUAUUAGUUAGUUGGUGAGGUAAAGGCCCACCAAGACAAUGAUACGUAGCCGACCUGAGAGGGUAAUCGGCCACAUUGGGACUGAGACACGGCCCAAACUCCUACGGGAGGCAGCAGUAGGGAAUCUUCCACAAUGGACGAAAGUCUGAUGGAGCAAUGCCGCGUGAGUGAAGAAGGGUUUCGGCUCGUAAAACUCUGUUGUUAAAGAAGAACACUUCUGAGAGUAACUGUUCAGAAGUUGACGGUAUUUAACCAGAAAGCCAC
RNAcentral lists this ribosomal RNA (501 nucleotides) under uncultured bacterium. RNAcentral's name for it is "bacterial SSU rRNA". It matches the Rfam family "Bacterial small subunit ribosomal RNA", at positions 28 to 494 of the family's 1533-position model. The record is from RNAcentral.